This 215-nucleotide ribosomal RNA is filed under the name uncultured bacterium. Its description in RNAcentral is "partial 16S ribosomal RNA". It matches the Rfam family "Bacterial small subunit ribosomal RNA", at positions 28 to 224 of the family's 1533-position model. The record is from RNAcentral.
GACGAACGCUGGCGGCGUGGAUUAGGCAUGCAAGUCGCGCGACGGGCAGGAUUCGUCCUGCUACGGAGCGGCGAACGGGUGAGUAACACGUGAACAAUCUGUCCCCUCGUUCCGGAUAAUUGGCCGAAACGGCCUUGUAAUACGGGGGAGGGUGGUGACGGGGCAUCUCGACACCAAGGAAGGUUGAGGUAAUUUAUUAUCUUGACCGCGCGGGG